This is a long non-coding RNA of Lolium perenne, 1099 nucleotides long. RefSeq lists it as uncharacterized. The record is from RefSeq and is a predicted model, not a curated record. NCBI's taxonomy places the organism in Eukaryota, Viridiplantae, Streptophyta, Magnoliopsida, Poales, Poaceae.
UCUACAUUAUUAUUUUUACUUCUUUUGCAGGGAAACAAAAGAAGACCGUUAAGCCUCAUUCUACACUUCAAUUGCAAAGGGUGUUGUCAAGAAUAUCAUCCUAGCCAUGCAAUUAUUUCUGCUGCUUGAGCAUUGGAAGCUUUGAAGCUCGUCUCUGGCUACAGCAGAAGUGUGUCAAAUUAUCUCAUGUGAGGCACUACGUGGCGCACAAUCAACGGUGGGCAACAGCAACCACCAGGUACGGCAAUCGAGAGCACGGUUCACCAGUCUAACAUAUUUUCAGCAGUGUAUAAUGCUUUUGAUGAAUUUUCUCUUGAUGUGAUUGCAUCUGCCAUUUAGUGUGUGAUUGAUGCGGGAACAUCUAUAUUCUUAGAAGCUGGAUGGGUUUGCAGAGUAUGGCUUAUUUACUAUUCAGUUACGUAUGCUGCUGGGAACCUGUUUUGUAUUGGGUUUCUGUGCUUAUUUAGUGAUUAUGUUACAUUUAUAAAGCUUUGUCACUGAACUGUCUUUGCUUGCCUUCCUGAAAGUUUGACAUUACUUUUGUUUACAGAAGAGUGAUCAUCCUACCUCCAGCUGGGCUAAGGUGUCCUUGCCGCCGACUUCGCCGUCUCGAACCCAUAUGCAUGUAUACCAAAUCCUUCCUGUAUCCUCUCUGAUUUUGUGUGCAAUCAUGGAUUUCGUUAUACUUGGUUGGUGUGUGGUAGAUAUGUGCCUACGCCAACACACAUCGGCUGCGAGUGCGGGCGUAUGUGCCUAGAAGGUUUCUUGAUUUGGGACGAAAGUGUAGUUCGUGUGGAAAAUGUGGAGGCAAAUCGGUCGAGCUGGGUUUAUACAGGGCUGGCGGUUUGGUCCAUUCACAGGGAUACAAGAAAUAUAUAUUGGCUAUAUUUAUGUAGAAUGUACAUACGCAGGUUUUCAUCAGCUAAAUGCCUAAUUUUCCAUACGAGGUUUCCAUUAGUUCGAAAACCUACAUUAUUUAACCAUACCCAUUUGUUCUCUGCUUCUCAGUGAUGAUCCUUGUGUAUUUUUAUAUUGAACUAAAUAACACUACUUCAUAUGUAAUUAUUGAGUUUGUUGAUAGCAGCCAGAAAAAAAUACA